GGAGGUACCAGCUACUCGUGGAAUUGUCAAGGUGUGGCGCAAGUUGGCCCGCACACGAGAAAUUUGAAAUUGUCAUAGUUUCACUGAUGCAUCUGUUGUGUGCUCGCCAAUUAUUUUAGAGUACGCUUUCUACUUUUGAAAUCUCCCUGAACAUAAUUUUUUGGUAAUACACUUUCCUUUAUAUGCAAUAUGAUAGCUUUAUUUGUUAGAUAGACGUUCUUUAUUUGCUUAUUGUUUUUAUAUGAAUUCCAGUGUUUCAAAUGAUUUGUACUCUCUACCUCAUCUCUUGAUUUUUAGAGAAAUAGGUAAAAAGUUCCAUAGAAUUCUCCCCACUUACCGUUUAAUCAAUAGUGCCAUAGAACUCUCAAUUUUUGCAAACUGAAAUUCAUUCACCUAUGGUAGAGUGAGUGUUACUAUGUCAUGAUUAUGUAACUAGCAUUGCUUGCUGGCAGAUUACAUAAUGUGUGUGAUGCUUCUUUGGCUCGUGAUUUUUUAACUUUGUUGAGAAUAAUUUGAAGAGGAAAAAAAGGUAAAUGAAAGCAGCACUGCCUAAAAAGUUUCUUUUCCCUCUUUGGAACAUGCUUUGUGAGAAAAUGAACGCAGAAAUGACAUAUUCAGUUUUGAUUAAGCCCAAGAAGUGAACCUGGAAACUGUUUUUGUAAACCUGAUCAUCUACUUUAGGAUCCGGGGGAUAAUGGGUGCUGUACUGCUCUAGGAGCAUUACCUUUUCCACUGGGGCUAUACUACUGCUUAAAGAAUGGUAAAUUUCAGCAUUUGCAAAUUGCUAACUCUCACUUAUGCUAUUAUGUAGGCGAAGGGAGAUAAGGACAUAUGGUGAUGUGAAGUCUGUGCAUCAAGGUUUAGCUUUAUGGUAACAGUGUUGGACAGGAUUAGCAGCUUUGUGGUGAUAGACUAUUUAAUUGCCCUUCUUAUAGCCUGUUUGGCCAAGCUUUUUUCUAGUCCAAAAGUAUUUUUUUUCUAAAUUUGAGGUGUUUGGCCAAGCUUUCUGAGAAGCAGAAAAAGAAGCAAAAGCACUUUUUGAGAAGCAGAAAAAAAGUAGCUUCUCUCCAGAAGCAAAAAUAGUUUUGACUUUUCUUCUUACCAAAAAUACCCUUAGCAAAAUGUAGUAUAUUCCAAAGUAACCUUACUUAUUCUAAACCUAAUACUUAGGAUUUUAAUCUAUAAAUAUUUUUUCUUAUUUUUAGGGUAGCUUUCUAAUAUAUAGUGACUUCUGGGGUGAAUGCUUUUAUAUUUGUUGAAUA
This 1262-nucleotide long non-coding RNA is filed under the name Nicotiana tabacum (common tobacco). RNAcentral describes it as "long non-coding RNA (NTAB_LNC009305)". Lineage: Eukaryota; Viridiplantae; Streptophyta; Magnoliopsida; Solanales; Solanaceae. The record is from RNAcentral.